Long non-coding RNA from Camelina sativa (false flax), 505 nucleotides. RefSeq lists it as uncharacterized. Lineage: Eukaryota; Viridiplantae; Streptophyta; Magnoliopsida; Brassicales; Brassicaceae. The record is from RefSeq and is a predicted model, not a curated record.
CCUCCUUUUCAAUUUCCACUCUCCCCCAUUCUUUUGUUUUGACCUUACAAAAACAAAAUUUGUUUAAGCUCCAUGUCUAAUAUAGUAAUUUAAUAUAGACAGUGGAAUUGACUUUUAUACAUUCACUUUUACCGUGUAUGUUUGGUACUAAACACUAAACACAUGCUAUUUUUGGUAGGUGAAAAAAUCUGGAUCCUUGUUCGACAAUGUGUUGGCUGAGGGAGAAGCAGAAGAUGAUGACAAUGAAGGAGAUGACUCAGACAACGAAUCAAAGUCUGAGGAAACCAAGGAAUCCGAGGAAACCGAUGCUGCCCAUGACGAGCAUUAAGCGAAGAAUGUGGAGAAUUAAAGAGUCCUCAAGUGUCUUAUUUGUUCUUUACCUUUUCUUUCAAAUAAAUUGUUUUAGCUCUAGUUUGGUUGUGAUGUAGAACUUUUUAGCUAUCAUGGUGAUAUAUGGUUGUGGCAGCUUUAUUAGACUUGAGAAAAUCCUUUCUGAUUCUCUUCA